This 4272-nucleotide long non-coding RNA is filed under the name Vulpes vulpes (red fox). RNAcentral's name for it is "lncRNA (ENSVVUG00000019370.1)". The record is from RNAcentral. Lineage: Eukaryota; Metazoa; Chordata; Mammalia; Carnivora; Canidae.
AUGGGCCGAGCGCUUGGUUCGUGCCCCACUCUUGGACGUCUUUCCAGGGCCCAGGAAGACACUGGCUCCUCGCACGUGCUGAGGGGCUGUGGAGAAAGCGUGACACUUCAGAAGACGGCCUCAGGCUCCUCAGACCUGGGGCUGCCACCUGAACUGAACCCAGAUGCACAGCCCACAGGGCCCCUCACAAGGCCGCAGCCUCCGCCACCACGUCAGGCCCUAAGAGUCCACCUGCCUCACCGGGAUCCAGCCCUGCUGGCAGCAUUUCUGGUAUUUAUUUAUUUAUUUAUUUAUUUAUUUAUGAGAGACACAGAGAGAGAGGCAGAGACCCAGGCAGAGGGAGAAGCAGGCUCCAUGCAGGGAGCCCGACGUGGGACUCGAUCCCAGGACCCCAGGAUCACCACCUGAGCCAAAGGCAGAUGCUCAACUGCUGAGCCACCCAGGUGUCCCAGCAUUUCUGGUAUUUAUUUUUUUGUUUUAUUUUUUAGCUUUUACAUUUUUAAAUUAAGUUUUAAUCGUAAUACAGGUUAGUCAACACACAGUGUAAUAUUAGUUUCAAAAAAUAUGGAACGCUGCAAGAAUUUGCUUGUCAUGGCCCCUGUGCAAGCAUUUCUGGUCUUUAAACCCACCAAAUACUUCCUGCCUCGGGGCCUUCCCACCCACACUUCCCCUGGCCUGGGGGCUGGAUGGCUCCCUCCACAAAACUACAGACUGGGUGGCUUACACUAUAGAAAUAUAUUUCCUCAUAGCUCUGGAGGCUGGAAGUCCGGGAUCAAGUGUCGGCAGGUGUGGUUUCUCGUGGGGCCUCUCUCCUUGACUUGCAGAUGGCCACCUUCUCGCUGUGUCCUCCGUGUGUGCACAUCUCUCAUGUCUCUUUGGGUAUCCAAACUCCCUCCUCUUAUAAGGACACCAGUCAGAUUGGAUUAGGGCCCAUCCUCACCCUCAUUUUCACUUUAUCCCCUCUUUAAAGGGCCUACCUUCAAAUAUGGUCACAUUCUGAGGUACUGGGGGACAAGGCUUCCACAUGAAUUUAGGGGGAGACACCACUCAGCCCAUCACAUCACCCCUCAAGUGUCUUCUGGAAUGUUUUAUUUUCCAGGAGUAUCUCCAGAGCCUCCCCACAGACGUGCUGGCUGCUCAUGGUGGGGCUCUAUCCAUCUGGGGGAUGGAGAGGGAGCCUUUCCUUUGCCCAAAGCACUGUCUGCUCCUAGAGCCACACACCCCUGGGCCGUGUCUGCCCAGAGGGGACAUCGGUCACACAGGCAGGUGGGAGCUCUCCUUGCCCUUAGCCUGGACCUCCAUCCCCUUUACCUUCUCUCCUUAUCACCCUGUCUUGUUUAGUGCAACAGCCUGUCAUGGUGUUUGACGUUUUGUUUUGUUUGGCUUUUGACCUCUCCCCCCUCUAGAGGGGCCCUUGCCUUUUUCAGGGUCGCAUCUUUGGCCCCUAGUGCAGAGCCUGACGCAGGAGUAAAUCUUCACAGGAAGAAGGAAAGUGCUUUCCUGCCCCUUCCGCACGCUUCCUGGCAGAUUCUGGGCCCGGCUCCCUUUGGCUCCCAGGUCUGAUGAGCUCAUCCAGGAGGCAACGGAGAAAGAAGUAAGAGGCUUUCGAAGGUGUGAGGAAGGAGGCGAGUUCACCAGAGGUCAGACAGCUGCUGGCCGGCCUGAACCCCGGCAGGCAGCGGGUGGAAAUGCUGAGCGAGUCGGAAAAACCGUCUGGAGCCGAGAGGAGGAGCUGAGUGAGCCUUGGAGACACAUAAGGUGCACUUACGGGGGAGAACGAAAGCAAGUCAAAGAGCCCACAGUCUGCAUAAAACUGCCAGCGGAGGCAGAACCAGCCUCCGAUUGGCGGGAGGCAGCGAGGCCCAGACGAGCGAGGCGCGUCGCUGGGAGGACAGCCCAUAAUACCUGCAAGGCCGGCCCAUAAAUCACUCCCGAGGCUGGCAUGUUGCAGAAGACAUUACCCUCUGAGGAAAAUCGUUUCCUGACCCAUUGGCUCAUCUAUUUCAGGGUGUUGUUUUUGGAAUAAUUGCAGGCAUAUAACUUGCAAGAGCAUCAUUUGGAUGUUUUUCUUGAGGCGCGGUGAAAACCCGAGUCUCCCAGAUGCCUGUUCCAGCUAAGGAUUGCCCGGCCGGGUCACUGCCCAGACGAACAUUUUUGAGAUUUCCUUUACUUGGCUCAGUGGGCCAUUGUAAAUCCAGGCUAAUAUUUUUCCUCGCAGGUGAACGUAUUCACAUUUGGGGUUGGUGUUAGGCCACACAGAGUCCAACGAAACGGCCUAUUGUUCCAAGUCGGAAGGCAAAGGCACCAAAGCACUGACAUUCUUUUAUUUAUUUAUUUAUAGAGUUAAUUAAUUAAUUCAAGAGAGAGCAUGAGCAGGGAGGACAGGGCAAACAGGCUCCCCGCCGAGCAGGGAGCCCGAUGCGAGACUCAAUCCCAGGACCCCGAGAUCACAACCUGAGCCAAAGGCAGACGCUCAACCACUGAGCCACCCAGGUGCCCCCAGUCCUGACAUUGUUAUUAGAGGUUCUAUGAAUGGAGCACAACAAUUGAGUUUCUUUUGUUCUUGCUCCGUGGGGCCCACAAUUGUGAAUCUAUAACUUGCUGUACGGAUUCCAACUUAUUAAUCAUUUGAAAGCAAAAUUCUAUGUAAUGAUUGAAAUCGAAAAUGAGGAUUUGAUAAAGGGAAGUGUCACCUGACACCAUCUUCUUCCCCGGUGGAUGCCAAGUGGCAGAUUCUUGAGUUGCCCCCCGACCCCAGAGUGGGUGGCGGGGAGCCGAGGUGUGGGCCAGACUAGGGAAGGCUGGAAUGUUCCUGGGUGAGGGUGUCAUCCCUGCCCCAUGCAUAGGUGUGGACCAGGCCUAGUGGGUCCAGGCGAGACCUUCGGUUUGGCCAUGGUGGUGUUGGCGGCUGCCUCCUGGGUUUCCUGCCUGGUUUGCUGCCAGGACUAGGAGGCUGAGCUAGGAAGGGUUCAGUUUUUCGGGCCAGACCUCAUCGUGAGAAUUCUAAGUUCUCACACCUGGGCAACACUUUCGGAUUCAGGAACUGUUUUACAACCACGGACCCAUUUAACCUCACAGCGUUCAUGGGAGGUGACAGGACUGGAUUUAUUAUCCCCAUUAGGUAGGUAGCAAACUGAGGAGCAGAAAGAAAAAGUGACCUGGCCAGAUUAUAGAACAAGGACUCCAGUGAGGUCUCCUGACCUGUAGAGCAGUGAGCCUCCAUCCCCCAAUCACACUCUACUCUGUGCCAGGUUGGGUCCCUCCAGGGCUUCCAGGACUCGGGGCACAAUGUCCAGGGCUAAGUCCUGGGAAGAGAAAAGGAUCUACUUCUCAUUCCAACAGGAUUGUGCAGUGGAGAAAAUCUCAACCCUAGCGGUUUGGGGAAGGGAGUAUAACUUGGUUUUUGUUUUAAUUACUAAAAUGAAAAUUUUUAAAUGGGUCUAGGCCCAACAUGAGGAUCAAACUCACAACACUGAGAGCAAGAGUCUUGGGCCACUUGCUAUUUACAGGAAACCAGAAAUGAAUCACACUCCUAUCUGCUGAUCGGGCGAGUCUGGAUCUUGGCCAUUUGUGACUUGUUGGAUGCUGUGUUUCAAGGCACAGCCUUGGUGGUGUGGGAGGAAGGGUUUGUCCAAGGGGGCAUAAUUUGGGGCACAACGUCCCCUGUCUUAGUCCUCCUCAGCCUCUCCAUGAUUACUGUCUGCCCUCAAUGCCCACGUUGUGACCCCAGGUCCCUUGUCCAUGCUGCUGGGACAGUAGUCUGGGCUCUUAAGCCACCUUGAGAAGACCAGGAGUUCUCUUAUUUUCAACUGAUUCCAUCAUCCUUUGCUUCAGAAGGAUGCUGCCACAUCCACGUUGACACAGGGUGCUGCGGCUCAGAGACUGUCCCCAGGAUUUAAGUAUCUUAGGCAAAGGCCAGGGCUGGGUGCAGGAGACCUGGGUCCUAGCUCUGUCGCUGAGGUCCUGGGAGACCAGCACAGACUCUUAUAAUUGCUCAGCACCUUGGUCUCCCUCCCUUUUAAAGUGGGACUCAUGGCUUUGGUGCUCUUCCAGGCAAGGGUGACUGGGAGGCUGGUGUAGAAGGAUGAGGAAGGGUUGGUGAUGAUGCUGGCUCUGGAAGGAGUGUCAUUGUGAUUCUAGAGCUAGGUGGCCUGAGUUUGAGAUUCCAGCUCCUUCGCUUACCGACCUGCUUCAGUUUCCCCAUCUGCAAGACGGCGAUUUAAAAAAUCCUGCCAUAAUAAAAAUCUUUAGAAAAAAAAAGGGGGGGGUGCA